AAUCCAUAAAGGUAUAGUCAAACAAAAACAAAAAUAAACAAAAAAAGGCUUACCUAAAGUUUAGAUUCCUAAACCAAACGACCGAAAAUCAAGCAGAAGAAUAAAUUAUCCACAGAUCUGGCUUAGUUCUGGAAAG
Long non-coding RNA from Hibiscus syriacus, 136 nucleotides. RefSeq lists it as uncharacterized. The record is from RefSeq and is a predicted model, not a curated record. NCBI's taxonomy places the organism in Eukaryota, Viridiplantae, Streptophyta, Magnoliopsida, Malvales, Malvaceae. The transcript is spliced from 3 exons.